Molecule: long non-coding RNA, 334 nt
Organism: Micropterus salmoides (largemouth bass)
Lineage: Eukaryota; Metazoa; Chordata; Actinopteri; Centrarchiformes; Centrarchidae
Exons: 4
Source: RefSeq, a predicted model, not a curated record
CAGUGCAACAUCUACGGUCCGUGCAGCAAUGCCACCAGCCAAACCUGUGGGUGCAUAAAUGGACUUCCGUCUGAUGGAGCGCUCUGUGAACCAAUCACAAAUGUCACACCGUGUCCAACCCCCACUCCUAACGUUACAUAUGACAUUGAUCUAGUCCUGGAAUUGCGUAUCCCAGUCUCCAGUGUGCCAUCAUAUUUCAUUGAACUAUUCAGGAACACUGUGAGAAGUGUCUUGCUCCCCUACACCAUCAAUCAGUCUUUAAAAGUGAUAGGUUUAAAUUUCACCACAGGGUGCUAUCCAAACUCCACUGGAGGACUGCAGUGUCACUGUGAGA